UGAGCAAUCUGCCCUUCACAUCGGAAUAACCAUUGGAAACGAUGGCUAAUACCGAAUAUGACUUCGGAUCGCAUGAUCUGAAGUGGAAAGCUCCGGCGGUGAAGGAUGAGCUCGCGGCCUAUCAGCUUGUUGGUGAGGUAAUAGCUCACCAAGGCGAUGACGGGUAGCCGGCCUGAGGAGGGUGACCCGGCCACACUGGGACUGAGACGACCGGCA
This 216-nucleotide ribosomal RNA is filed under the name uncultured bacterium. Its description in RNAcentral is "partial 16S ribosomal RNA". It matches the Rfam family "Bacterial small subunit ribosomal RNA", at positions 118 to 336 of the family's 1533-position model. The record is from RNAcentral.